CGCGUCUUGUUCGAAUUCCUCCCAAAAGAGGCCCUGAGACGAAGACUAUUUAUUUGGGCAGUGACCCCUGGGCAGGAAUUGAGGCAGUUGGGAGCACACGAUGGGAAGGGAGAAAGCCAGUAACUCUUGCACCGCUGAGGAGGUCACUACUGUGGGCGCCUGAGGCGCAGUUCCCCUGGGGAGCCUCUGAGAAACCAUGUGGGACACACCUCAGAGUCACCCCGCUGGGGGACAGGGACGGGCUUUAUGCACUAACUGCCACCCUGACGUGGAGGGUUGCCCCAGCACACAGCUCCUCGCACUCAGUUGGCGCAGCGCCCCGGUGGAGGUGGGAGCACCGGUGGAGGUGGGAGCCCUGGAGACCCGGCGGAGAAGAGGUUGCCUUCCAUCAUGGCUGGGUCUAGAGGCCACGCGGUGCCAUCAGGACCACGUUUCUCUGCACCCCUCAGCUCCACGCCCUGCCCUGCUGGCUCCAUCUGACAGGCCUGCCCUCUUGGUGGUGGGAAACCUACCGGCAGCUCUCCACCUGCCUCCUGUCCUGGGAGCACAAGAGGAAGUUUCCCCCAAGAGGCUUGGCUCCUGUUUCCUCGUGGCUCCUUCCCGAAAUGUGAUACCAUAAGAUCCUAUUCUGCUCCAGCCAUCCUGCUUGGACGAAGAAGUCUGUUCUAAUCGAAUCAAAGGGCUGCUUCACAAGGCUUCGCUGGCCUGGAUUCUCUGCGUUCUCCUGCCCACUCCCGUGGACGCCCA
Molecule: long non-coding RNA, 747 nt
Filed under: Equus caballus (horse)
Lineage: Eukaryota; Metazoa; Chordata; Mammalia; Perissodactyla; Equidae
Description: lncRNA (ENSECAG00000049178.1)
Source: RNAcentral